This is a long non-coding RNA of Chiroxiphia lanceolata (lance-tailed manakin), 484 nucleotides long. RefSeq lists it as uncharacterized. The record is from RefSeq and is a predicted model, not a curated record. The transcript is spliced from 4 exons. NCBI's taxonomy places the organism in Eukaryota, Metazoa, Chordata, Aves, Passeriformes, Pipridae.
GAAUGUUACAGUGCUGAUGCUGUGCUCAGCAGUAGCCAAAACACCGGACAAGUCCCAAGGAAACAGCGCUUCAGGACUCUAUCACUGGACCUGUUUUAUCUGAGUGAGAAACUUCCAGCCUUUCUAUAGGUCCUGCUUUCUCAAGUUGUAAUACCAUCAAGUACCACCUUAUUUCUGGUUUGGGUGUUAUGGUGUUUAGCUGUGGGAUUUUUUAAAUGAAGAAUCAAGACAAAUUCCAACAGUUUUGCUAAAGCAGCUAUUGCUUUUAACCAUUGAACUGAAUUAAUGCAGGCUCACUACACUGCUUGGGACACUGGGGACUGGGCUCCAAGAGCUGGUCACACGAUGUUCAUGAUACACCGGUCAGAUAGGAGAGGAGCAGGAGGUUGGAUGAGUUCAUCUGAGAAAACACGGGAUUGAGGAAUGGAUGCAGCCAGCUACUGGGGUACCAAAGACUAUUAGCAAUACAGCAAUUAAAUGAAAU